UGGCUCACCUAGGCUACGAUCCCUACCUGGUCUGAGAGGAUGACCAGCCACACUGGAACUGAGACACGAGCUCCAUACUCCUACGGGAGGCAGCAGUGGGGAAUAUUGCACAAUGGGCGCAAGCCUGAUGCAGCCAUGCCGCGUGUAUGAACAAGGCCUUCGGGUUGUAAAGUACUUUCAACGAGGAGGAAGGCGUUAAGAGUUAAUAACCUUGGMGAUUGACGUUACUCUCAGAAGAAGCACCGGCUAACUCCGUGCCAGCAGCCGCGGUAAUACGGAGGGUGCAAGCGUUAAUCRCGAAUUACUGGGCGUAAAGCGCACGCAGGCGGUUUGUUAAGUCGGAUGUGAAAUCCCCGGGCUCAACCUGGGAACUGCAUUCGAAACUGGCAAGCUUGAGUCUUGUAGAGGGGGGUAGAAUUCCAGGUGUA
This 428-nucleotide ribosomal RNA is filed under the name bacterium spbL1type3. RNAcentral's name for it is "bacterial SSU rRNA". It matches the Rfam family "Bacterial small subunit ribosomal RNA", at positions 261 to 677 of the family's 1533-position model. The record is from RNAcentral.